GCGAGCCGAUCAAGCCCAG
Molecule: small nuclear RNA, 19 nt
Filed under: Arabidopsis thaliana (thale cress)
Lineage: Eukaryota; Viridiplantae; Streptophyta; Magnoliopsida; Brassicales; Brassicaceae
Description: snRNA_01444
Source: RNAcentral